This 305-nucleotide ribosomal RNA is filed under the name uncultured bacterium. RNAcentral describes it as "bacterial SSU rRNA". It matches the Rfam family "Bacterial small subunit ribosomal RNA", at positions 336 to 658 of the family's 1533-position model. The record is from RNAcentral.
UUCCUACGGGGGGCAGCAGUGGGGAAUAUUGCACAAUGGGGGAAACCCUGAUGCAGCGACGCCUCGUGAGUGAAGAAGUAUUUCGGUAUGUAAAGCUCUAUCAGCAGGGAAGAAAAUGACGGUACCUGACUAAGAAGCCCCGGCUAACUACGUGCCAGCAGCCGCGGUAAUACGUAGGGGGCAAGCGUUAUCCGGAUUUACUGGGUGUAAAGGGAGCGUAGACGGCAUGGCAAGUCCGGAGUGAAAGCCCGGGGCUCAACCCUGGGACUGCUCUGGAAACUGUAAAGCUGGAGUGCGGGAGGGGG